Long non-coding RNA from Ficedula albicollis (Collared flycatcher), 3491 nucleotides. Lineage: Eukaryota; Metazoa; Chordata; Aves; Passeriformes; Muscicapidae. The record is from Ensembl.
AUGGGGCACGCUGGGGUGGCAGGAAGCACCAGCCAGGCUGCUCAGUGCUCACUCCUUUCCCUCCCUGCUUCCAGGCUGACAUCAGGUCCCGGGAGCACCUUCGGAAGCAGCCCUGUGCUCCACUGGGGGUGCUGGAGGCUGCCCCUGCCAGCCCAGAGAGCAGCAAAAAGGAGGCUGAACUGGAGGAUUAGUCUGGUGCCAGCAGAACGUGCAGAGCUCCUCUCCACUGGCUCCUCUCCUGCCCCAAGGCUGGGUCCUGCUGGGUGCAGGAGCCCAGUGUCACAGCUGUGCCAGGCUGUCCCACAGGGCACCUCCAGCCACUGCUCAGGGAGAGCCCUUGCUGUGAAUUUCUCAGGGUUUGUUUUCAAGUACUGUUAAAACCUUUGUGUAAGCAAAGGCUCACAGGUAACUCUGCCUGUGGUGUGAGGGAAAAUCAGGUUAAAAAAAAAAAAAAAAAAGCAUAACUUUGUGUAAGCAAAGGCUCACAGGUAACUCUGCCUGUGGUGUGAGGGAAAAUCAGGUUAAAAAAAAAAAAAAACAGCAUAAAAAAUGGCUCUGCAUCACUGCCCCAGCUUGCCUCUGCGUGAGGCUCUGAGCUCCCCUGGUUCCAGGUCCAGGUAAACUCAGGUGACUCUGGAUGAAGUCACCUGGGGAGGCUGUGGGAGGAGGAUGGUGCUGCAGUGUCCUGCUGGAGCCAGGGCUCUGUGCUCCUGCCUUUGGGGUUUGUCUGUGCCCUGGGAUGCUGCACCAGCUGCCCAAACUCGGGUGCUUAAAGGAAGGGACUAAUCUCUGUGUUUGGUGUCUGCUUGUGGCUCUUGGGACACAAUAUGGGAUUAACUUGGUCUUUAUCUAAUUGGUUUAUAACCCUGGGAAGGGAAAAUCGCUUUGUAAUGCUUGAAACCUCUUAAGAGAAACUCAGAGACUGGAGCUUGAGUGUCCUUUGAAAUAAACUCGUCCAUGGCUUGUCUUUUUUAACUCUGUUACUGGAAACCGGCUUUUUUGGGUGCAAAGUAAUUUGGGAUCAGAGGAAAAUAGUUAUUGCUGACUGGUUGUAAAUCCUGUUAUCACCAGGGGUUUUCUCUUCACUGUUUCCAUCUGGGACUGGUUGGGAGUCUGGAGGAGUCUCAGGGCUUGGCCACCCCAGCAGUGCUGGGGAACGAGCUGUGGGGCUGGGGCAGGGAUGUGCUGCCAGCGACCGACGGCUCCUGGGUGACAGCCCGGGGCAGAAUUGCUUUGGGCUUGGGUCUCCUGGCUGCCGGGUGUCUAAUGGCUCUGCCGCAGCUUCUCUGCAUCUGCUCCCUCUGUCCUAUUUGUCUGGGGUCCAGGGGGGAGGGAGAGGAGAUGCUUUGGGAUGCAAAUCUGUUUGUUCUGAGGAAGUCUGGGUGAGCAGCUCCAUCCCAGGUGUCUGAGGCUGGGUGGGAUGAGUUCCCACCUCCGUGUCUGGAGCUUGUGGCAGUGUAGGUGCUGCCUGUGCAGUUCCAGCUCCUGUGACUCAGGGUUUGUAUUUUGGGACACUCCUGCCGAGGAUGAAGGAAGUGUUUCAUUGGGAUUUCCCCUCUCCCUGCCCCCAGUUCUCAUUCCUCUCCCCUUUGGCUUGCUUGGGUGGGUUUAGGUCUGAGCCGUGCUCUGGGUGUGGAGCUGCAGGCGAGCCCCCCGGUGUGGAGCUGGGCCCGGGCAGCUGAGCCCCCCUCCCUUCCCCAUUCCCGGAGUUUGGCGUUUGUGGGGCUGGCUGGGGCAGCUGCGUCCCUUGGAUCCCGGAGCAUUCCCCAGCUUUGGGCCCCAGCUCUGGCUCUAAAAGGGCAUUUUUAGUGUCGGUCCCUCCCGUGCAGCUGAGCCUCUUGGAUGUGGUGGCUCCUGGGCAGAGGGAACGUCAUGGCUCCCUUGCAGGGCUUUUUGGUUUUUUUUUUUUUUUUUUUUUUUUUUUUUUUUUGGGGGGGGGGGGGGUUUUUUUUUUUUUUUUUUUCUCCUUUUUUUUAAAUUUUUCCCUUCCUUUUGUCCUAUAAAUAGUUCUCCACCCCAACUGCUCUUCCCGUUGUUGGUGUCGGUUGAUCCUCCCUGAUCCUCUCACCACAGCCCCACCAGCCCCCUCCCCCCGGCUUGAUUUUAAGGCCCCAUUAAUUAAAACCAAAUGAGUGGAAUUUCUCUUGACAAGCAAAUUAAUAGCAAAUGAGGUGAUUAUGAGCUGUGUCAUUAGGUUGAUGGAGCAGCUUGUGCAGGGCUCAGCCCAAAGCAAGGCAGCAAAGCCGUGGGGUAGCAGACUUCUCCUUUUGGGGGGCUGGGGCUGUGUCCCCCCGAGGGAGGGGACAUGGAAGGUGCUCCCUUCCCCUCUUGGGCCACUGGCUGGAAUUUUGGUAGCCAAGGAGCCACCGUGAGACCCCGGGCUGGAGGAGGGGGCAGAGCAGAGGUGCCGGGGGUGGCUGCAGCCCCCAGCCCCACCGGCGGAUGCUCGGGGGGUCCCACAUGAGCUGGGUCCUUCCAGGGGGACACGCCGGGAGUGCCUUGUCCCCUCCCUGGCAGCCCGACCAGCUUCAAACGCACGAGCCAAGGCUUGUGUCAAUUCCUGGGCUGGUUCCCCCCUCGGGGGCUCGGUGCGGGCUGUUUCCUUAGGAACGCGCGUUCUCCUGCUUUUCUUGGCCCUGCGGAGCUGCAGCAGGAGCCGCGCAUCGGCGCUGCCCGGGGAGCCCCGGCCGGGCGCGCAGCGGGGGCGGCGCUGCCGGCGGCUCCCGGCUCGUGUUGUGACUGGAGCUUUGCGCAGGGAACAGCGCCUGCGAGCAGGAGGAGAUGGAGAUGGAGAUGGAGAUGGAGAUGGAGAUGGAGAUCAGCCGGGCCAGGGAUGCGGGGAAGGACGGGGAGAGGAGGAGAGGCGGUGCCAGGAGCCGGCUCUGCCCCUGUGCCAUCGCUCGAGGGACAAAUAUUCGGUGUUUUCCCGAGGAGCAGCGCUGCCUGCUAAUAAAACACCCAGCGGUUCUUGGGACCGUGUUCAGAGUCUGCGAUAAAUCCGGCGGCUUUGUAACUUGCUGGAGGGAUGGUGGGCAGCGCCGUGAUUAAAGCGCUCUGAUUAACACACAAACCUUGUUUGUAAUGAGUGGGAUUGGGAGGGUGUGGAAAUCCAGCUGGCGUGUAAUGAGGUUACUCCGACAAAUUACUCGGAUAUCAAUUACUCCGCUAGGUAAAUGUCGCCUGCCUUCUCUUUGUUUGCAGCAAACUGAGAUCCAAUUAGCUCGGAGUGGCUCUUGCCCGUGCCGGAGCUGCUGCAGCCCCGAGGCAGGACAGGAGAGCAGCCGGGCUCUGUGGGGCAUCAUCGGGGCCAGGGACACCCCAGUCCCUCGGGGAUAACAUCCCUCCUCUCCUGGGAAGGGAAGGGAGCUGCUCCCGAAACUGCAGCGGGAAAGGGGAGCGGAGCUGCAGCGGGAGCGUGUCGGGGAUGGUGCCCCUGUUCCAGCCCUCGGGAAGGGCUCUGGAUGUCGGGAGAGCGAGGCAGACGGGGCCGG